UACAGAGGUCUCAAGCGUUGUUCGGAUUCAUUGGGCGUAAAGGGUGCGUAGGCGGCGUGGUAAGUCGGGUGUGAAAUUUCGGAGCUCAACUUCGGAACUGCACUCGAUACUGCCGUGCUUGAGGACUGGAGAGGAGACUGGAAUUCACGGUGUAGCAGUGAAAUGCGUAGAUAUCGUGAGGAAGACCAGUGGCGAAGGCGAGUCUCUGGACAGAUCCUGACGCUGAGGCACGAAGGCCAGGGGAGCAAACGGG
Molecule: ribosomal RNA, 253 nt
Filed under: uncultured bacterium
Lineage: Bacteria
Description: partial 16S ribosomal RNA
Rfam family: Bacterial small subunit ribosomal RNA
Source: RNAcentral